Molecule: ribosomal RNA, 599 nt
Filed under: Rhodococcus qingshengii
Lineage: Bacteria; Bacillati; Actinomycetota; Actinomycetes; Mycobacteriales; Nocardiaceae
Description: bacterial SSU rRNA
Rfam family: Bacterial small subunit ribosomal RNA
Source: RNAcentral
CGAGCGGCGAACGGGUGAGUAACACGUGGGUGAUCUGCCCUGCACUUCGGGAUAAGCCUGGGAAACUGGGUCUAAUACCGGAUAUGACCUCCUAUCGCAUGGUGGGUGGUGGAAAGAUUUAUCGGUGCAGGAUGGGCCCGCGGCCUAUCAGCUUGUUGGUGGGGUAAUGGCCUACCAAGGCGACGACGGGUAGCCGACCUGAGAGGGUGACCGGCCACACUGGGACUGAGACACGGCCCAGACUCCUACGGGAGGCAGCAGUGGGGAAUAUUGCACAAUGGGCGAAAGCCUGAUGCAGCGACGCCGCGUGAGGGAUGACGGCCUUCGGGUUGUAAACCUCUUUCAGCAGGGACGAAGCGCAAGUGACGGUACCUGCAGAAGAAGCACCGGCUAACUACGUGCCAGCAGCCGCGGUAAUACGUAGGGUGCAAGCGUUGUCCGGAAUUACUGGGCGUAAAGAGUUCGUAGGCGGUUUGUCGCGUCGUUUGUGAAAACCAGCAGCUCAACUGCUGGCUUGCAGGCGAUACGGGCAGACUUGAGUACUGCAGGGGAGACUGGAAUUCCUGGUGUAGCGGUGAAAUGCGCAGAUAUCAGGAGGA